UGAGGAAUAUUGGGCAAUGGACGAGAGUCUGACCCAGCCAUGUCGCGUGCAGGAAGACGGCUUUAUGAGUUGUAAACUGCUUUUAUAUAGGAAGAAACCCUUCGACGUGUUGGAGGCUGACGGUACUAUA
This 130-nucleotide ribosomal RNA is filed under the name uncultured bacterium. Its description in RNAcentral is "partial 16S ribosomal RNA". It matches the Rfam family "Bacterial small subunit ribosomal RNA", at positions 355 to 482 of the family's 1533-position model. The record is from RNAcentral.